GGACCAACUCCUACGGGAGGCAGCAGUGGGGAAUAUUGGACAAUGGGCGAAAGCCUGAUCCAGCCAUGCCGCAUGAGUGAAGAAGGCCUUUGGGUUGUAAAGCUCUUUCAGUGAGGAAGAUAAUGACGGUACUCACAGAAGAAGUCCUGGCUAACUCCGUGCCAGCAGCCGCGGUAAUACGGAGAGGGCUAGCGUUAUUC
RNAcentral lists this ribosomal RNA (200 nucleotides) under uncultured Wolbachia sp. Its description in RNAcentral is "partial 16S ribosomal RNA". It matches the Rfam family "Bacterial small subunit ribosomal RNA", at positions 329 to 546 of the family's 1533-position model. Lineage: Bacteria; Pseudomonadati; Pseudomonadota; Alphaproteobacteria; Rickettsiales; Anaplasmataceae. The record is from RNAcentral.